Molecule: ribosomal RNA, 447 nt
Filed under: uncultured bacterium
Lineage: Bacteria
Description: bacterial SSU rRNA
Rfam family: Bacterial small subunit ribosomal RNA
Source: RNAcentral
UCGGGAAUUUUGGGCAAUGGGCGAAAGCCUGACCCAGCAACGCCGCGUGAAGGAUGAAGUAUUUCGGUAUGUAAACUUCGAAAGAAUAGGAAGAAUAAAUGACGGUACUAUUUAUAAGGUCCGGCUAACUACGUGCCAGCAGCCGCGGUAAUACGUAGGGACCAAGCGUUGUUCGGAUUUACUGGGCGUAAAGGGCGCGUAGGCGGCAAUUCAAGUCAUCUGUGAAAUCUCCGGGCUUAACUCGGAACGGUCAGAUGAUACUGCUUUGCUAGAGUGCAGAAGGGGCAAUCGGAAUUCUUGGUGUAGCGGUGAAAUGCGUAGAUAUCAAGAGGAACACCUGAGGUGAAGACGGGUUGCUGGGCUGACACUGACGCUGAGGCGCAAAAGCCAGGGGAGCAAACGGGAUUAGAUACCCACGUAGUCCCUGAGCGGGCUGGCAAGGCGCAU